ACCCACAACCCAACACCAAUUACCCAUUAUUAAUAACCCCUAAAACACGAAACAAAAUAAACAAAUCAUUUUUCCCUUAUAGUAUAUGAGAUAGAAAAUAAGCUUUGGAGUAACAGAACAAGUACCGCAAGGGAACGCUGAAAAAGAAAUGAAAAACCAGUAAAGCAAAGAAAAGCAGAGACCAAAACUCGUACCUUUUGCAUCAUGAAUUAGCCAGUAACCUUUAAGCAAAAUGAAUUUUAGUUUAAACCCCCGAAACUAAGUGAGCUACUCCAAGACAGCCUAAAUAUAGGGCAAACCCGUCUCUGUGGCAAAAGAGUGGGAAGAGCUUUGAGUAGAGGUGAUAAACCUACCGAACUUAGUAAUAGCUGGUUGCCUGAUAAAUGAAUAGAAGUUCAGCCUAUUAACUUUUUAUCUCCCAACUGGCUCACCCUAAAAGCUAAAUAUCAAGAAGUUAAUAGAGUUAAUUAAAGGGGGUACAGCCCCUUUAAAAAAAGACACAACUUUAACAGAAGGUAAAAGAUUAAAAUUAACUUAAGGC
RNAcentral lists this ribosomal RNA (541 nucleotides) under Cololabis saira (Pacific saury). Its description in RNAcentral is "partial 16S large subunit ribosomal RNA". The stretch from base 173 to 541 matches the Rfam family "Bacterial large subunit ribosomal RNA", at positions 568 to 1065 of the family's 2925-position model. The record is from RNAcentral. Lineage: Eukaryota; Metazoa; Chordata; Actinopteri; Beloniformes; Belonidae.